CAGCAGCCGCGGGAAUACGAAGGGGGCUAGCGUUGUUCGGAUUUACUGGGCGUAAAGGGCGCGUAGGCGGGCGAUUAAGUCAGGGGUGAAAUCCCAAGGCUCAACCUUGGAACUGCCUUUGAUACUGAUUGUCUUGAGUUCGAGAGAGGUAAGUGGAACUGCGAGUGUAGAGGUGAAAUUCGUAGAUAUUCGCAAGAACACCAGUGGCGAAGGCGGCUUACUGGCUCGAUACUGACGCUGAGGAGCGAAAGCGUGGGGAGCGAACAGGAUUAGAUACCCCAGUAGUCCCUGUCUCUUAUAA
RNAcentral lists this ribosomal RNA (301 nucleotides) under uncultured bacterium. Its description in RNAcentral is "partial 16S ribosomal RNA". It matches the Rfam family "Bacterial small subunit ribosomal RNA", at positions 509 to 809 of the family's 1533-position model. The record is from RNAcentral.